UACGGGGGGGGCAAGCGUUGUUCGGAAUUACUGGGCGUAAAGGGCUCGUAGGUGGCCAACUAAGUCAGACGUGAAAUCCCUCGGCUUAACCGGGGAACUGCGUCUGAUACUGGAUGGCUUGAGUUUGGGAGAGGAAUGCGGAAUUCCAGGUGUAGCGGUGAAAUGCGUAGAUAUCGGGAGGAACACCGGUGGCGAAGGCGGCGACCUGGGUAGAUACUGACGCUGAGGCGCGAAAGCGUGGGGAGCAAACAGG
Molecule: ribosomal RNA, 253 nt
Filed under: uncultured bacterium
Lineage: Bacteria
Description: partial 16S ribosomal RNA
Rfam family: Bacterial small subunit ribosomal RNA
Source: RNAcentral